This 24-nucleotide non-coding RNA is filed under the name Arabidopsis thaliana (thale cress). Lineage: Eukaryota; Viridiplantae; Streptophyta; Magnoliopsida; Brassicales; Brassicaceae. The record is from RNAcentral.
ACCGUUCGUUGGUACCCGCUCGAC